GCAAUGAUUACACUAAAGAAAAACCUUCAGGCCUGCCAAUUCAGACAUCACUACCCUUAACAGUGAGUGAGUCACUUAGAAGGCCUGUCUUCAACAUUUGCUCCUCAAGGGGAAUCUAUGCUGGAUGUCUGAGCGGGGGAUUAAUCAAAACAACAAAACAAUGAGCAAACAGAGAGGGAUGUGCAGAAGAGCCCAGAACUCUGCCAGUGUGGCUGCACACGCAGUCAAGUCGGACUCGGUCAUCCACACGCGCUCGCUUUCUCUGUGCCUGGCCCUGUGCUGUAGGGUCAGAAGCUGAAGAGAAUGCCCCCCGAACCUGCAGAAGAACAUUCCGAAGAGUGGCAGCUCCAUUUCUGUUUUCCCAGUCAAAAUGUGUCCAUCAGGAGACUUUGCUAAAGAAGU
Molecule: long non-coding RNA, 402 nt
Filed under: Homo sapiens (human)
Lineage: Eukaryota; Metazoa; Chordata; Mammalia; Primates; Hominidae
Description: HSALNT0349506
Source: RNAcentral